Molecule: non-coding RNA, 138 nt
Organism: Cebus imitator (Panamanian white-faced capuchin)
Lineage: Eukaryota; Metazoa; Chordata; Mammalia; Primates; Cebidae
Source: Ensembl
CUGGGACUACAGUCUUGAGCCACCGCGCCCGGCCGGUUUUCACUUUCUAAAGAACAAUCUAGCCUCCUAAAUGACAAGGUAGAUAGAAUAGGUCUUGUUUGCAAAAUAAAUUCAAGACCUACUUACCUACUAAAAGAA